AGUGCAUCCAUGGGUAGGUUCGUAAUCAAUUAUUUCUCUAAACAACUUUUAGUAAUUAGAUUUUGCCUUAGGCAUCCCUUCAGCAGACGUGUGAUGCCUCCACUGAAACCUCAAUUAGGUCCAACCAUUAAUAUGACACACCAAGUGCAUCCAACAAAUGGAUGUCCAGGCUCAAGUGUCACUUUGCCAAUCAGAGCAUUAAUCUGAAGGUACAUCAUGAUGGUUAUAU
RNAcentral lists this long non-coding RNA (229 nucleotides) under Elaeis guineensis (African oil palm). Its description in RNAcentral is "long non-coding RNA (EGUI_LNC048802)". The record is from RNAcentral. Lineage: Eukaryota; Viridiplantae; Streptophyta; Magnoliopsida; Arecales; Arecaceae.